Pipistrellus kuhlii (Kuhl's pipistrelle) is the source of this 203-nucleotide long non-coding RNA. RefSeq lists it as uncharacterized. The record is from RefSeq and is a predicted model, not a curated record. NCBI's taxonomy places the organism in Eukaryota, Metazoa, Chordata, Mammalia, Chiroptera, Vespertilionidae. The transcript has 4 exons.
GUGUGUGUGUAUGUAUAUAUAUAUUGUAUUAUCGCUUCACUAUACUGAUCCCAUGAUGUUAUGGCUACUCACCAAAGCUCUGCAAAAUUCAUUGCCUGUCUAAGCAUGAAUGUGCUGUAUUUAUGGACCCUUCCAGAUCAGAGGUUAUGAGGACAUAACCAAGGGCUGAGGGUGGGAUGACUCCACACACACAAACCCAGUUC